GGGCGAUUAGCUCAGCCUGGCUAGAGCGCUUGCUUGACAUGCAAGAGGUCACUGGUUCGAGUCCAGUAUCGCCCACCA
This 78-nucleotide transfer RNA is filed under the name candidate division TA06 bacterium SM1_40. RNAcentral's name for it is "tRNA-Val". It matches the Rfam family "tRNA". Rfam says of the family: Transfer RNA (tRNA) molecules are approximately 80 nucleotides in length. Their secondary structure includes four short double-helical elements and three loops (D, anti-codon, and T loops). RNAcentral also lists the same sequence under 2 other names. The record is from RNAcentral.